AGCGAACGUUAGCGGCGGGCUUAACACAUGCAAGUCGAACGAGAAAGUGGGCUUCGGCCCGCGAGUAAAGUGGCAGACGGGUGCGUAACACGUGGGUAAUCAACCUUGUGGCGGGGGACAACCUUCCGAAAGGAGGGCUAAUACCGCGUAAGUCCGGCGGGUCUUCGGAUCUGCCGGGGAAAGGGGGCGCAAGCCUCUCACCAUAAGACGAGCCCGCGUCCCAUCAGCUAGUUGGUGAGGUAACGGCUCACCAAGGCAUAGACGGGUAGCUGGUCUGAGAGGAUGACCAGCCACACUGGAACUGCGACACGGUCCAGACUCCUACGGGAGGCAGCAGUGGGGAAUAUUGGGCAAUGGGCGAAAGCCUGACCCAGCCACGCCGCGUG
Molecule: ribosomal RNA, 386 nt
Filed under: uncultured bacterium
Lineage: Bacteria
Description: bacterial SSU rRNA
Rfam family: Bacterial small subunit ribosomal RNA
Source: RNAcentral